This 449-nucleotide ribosomal RNA is filed under the name uncultured bacterium. RNAcentral describes it as "partial 16S ribosomal RNA". It matches the Rfam family "Bacterial small subunit ribosomal RNA", at positions 338 to 795 of the family's 1533-position model. The record is from RNAcentral.
CCUACGGGUGGCAGCAGUGGGGAAUUUUGGACAAUGGGGGCAACCCUGAUCCAGCCAUUCCGCGUGAGUGAAGAAGGCCUUCGGGUUGUAAAGCUCUUUCGCAAGGGAAGAAAACUUACUCAAUAACACUGGGUGAGGCUGACGGUACCUUGAUAAGAAGCACCGGCUAACUACGUGCCAGCAGCCGCGGUAAUACGUAGGGUGGUACCGUUAAUCGGGAUUGCGGGGGGUAAAGCGUGCGCCAGAUGUGAAAUCCCCGGGCUCAACCUGGGAACUGCGUUUGAAACUACAAGGCUAGAGUAUGGCAGAGGGGGGUAGAAUUCCACGUGUAGCAGUGAAAUGCGUAGAGAUGUGGAGGAAUACCAAUGGCGAAGGCAGCCCCCUGGGUCAAUACUGACGCUCAUGCACGAAAGCGUGGGGAGCAAACAGGAUUAGAUACCCGAGUAGUC